This 232-nucleotide long non-coding RNA is filed under the name Salvia miltiorrhiza (redroot sage). Its description in RNAcentral is "long non-coding RNA (SMIL_LNC002137)". Lineage: Eukaryota; Viridiplantae; Streptophyta; Magnoliopsida; Lamiales; Lamiaceae. The record is from RNAcentral.
GGUAACAAGUGUGCCACAUGUCACCAGAUCUUGCAUUUGGACCAUUGACCUCUUAGCCACUUUUGAUGUUCCCCAUUUCAGCCAAAUUCUUCCCACACGAACCAGUACUCUCUCUGCCUUGCUCAGUCAAACUCGAGUCUUCUUCUUCCCUCUUCUCAAUCUUCUCCGACCCUCCAACCUUCGCCGCUGCCGCCGUCUCUCUCUUCGGCAUCACAGCUUCCCCAACUUCCAU